GACAGAUGACUGAGGUCGUAGAUUUGCCAGACAAUGUCUGGGAAAUGAUAUUACGUUUGCUAGAUGGGGUUUCGCUUAUAAACCUGUCUCUUGCUUCGGCUUAUUACAGUAGUCUGAUCGAAGAAUGUGUUGACUGGAAAGAUAAAUUUCAAUCAAUACCCGGUCGUUUUGUAGAAGCGGUUACGCAUGUUUCUGCCGACGUUCCAUUGAAAGGAAGAGAUCCGAAUUUCUAUAAAAAAUUUUGCUUUCAUUUUUCGGCUCUGUGCAAUAUAGAUUCUUUGGGCAGAUCUUAUAAUCAAAGCUUCUUCAAACUCAAUUUUCCUACAAUUUCUGCGACAAUAAUAUGUUGCGGGUUUCUAAUUGUUGGAUGUAUAGAUGGUUCAGUUGGAAUUUUUGAACCUAAACAGAACAAAAACAGCUUUAGUCUCUUCAUAAAGUGAAAUGGGUCGCGAGACUGCAUAGCGGGCCAAUUACAGCUUUACACUGUUACUGUCGCUCCAUUUUUCGCAAGUUUCCUUCGACGUUGAUUUCUGCUGGAAAAGAUGCUUGCCUGAAGUUCACGCGGUAUGACAAAACUUAUCUGCAAGUUGAUGACCCAUGGGCUCUACCGCUGUCUAGUGAAAUAACAGCCUCGACUAAAGAUGGCCGUCGGAUUUUAAUAGGCCAAGAAAAUGGGGAUGUGCGACUUCUAACUAUUCGAUUAGAUCCAUCCGAGCUGGACGAAGGGAAGCAAAAAUGUACAGCCAGUGUAUCUGCUUUAUACACAGACACUCGAAGGAGAAGCGUAAAUGCUGUAGCUUUGUCAAAUGCAACUGUUGCUGUUCAAGUUAAAGAUAGCACUCUGCUCGUUCUUCAUGUGGACUUUAAAGAUGUGCCUCCUCGCCUUGUUCUGGUGCACUCAUUUUCCAAUUUUUUUCUACACCCAAGUCUAUACCUGGAGCUGGAUUUCAUCAAUGGAUCAGAAGUUGACGCUUUAAGCAUUCAAGAAGUCCUCGAUCGUACUGAGAAGGCGAUCGGGGGUGUCAAACGCGUAGUGGCAUUCGGCCCUAUCUUCAUCUGCCUCGACGUCAGUAACAAACUAUUUAUGAUGACAGUUCAGAACUUGAAAGAUUUCGUAUUGGGGCAAAAGAAGCUGGACAAAAGGAUGCUUGAAAUUGAAUCUGCAGUGUACUUGGAUUUCAAAAGCAUGUGUUUCGGAUACACAACAGGAGGAUUCGUGUUGAUACUCACGGAGAUGAAUGAUGGCAAUAAAGUGCAUACGUCCAUUUUUCAGAAAUCAUGAAGCGUGAACGUACUAUUUAACAUCCACGUGCAGUUGAGCAGUAUGGUCAAACGACUGCACCAGUGCUUUUAAUAAUCCUUCGCUACUAACAGCUUGAAACGUCAUCAAAAUAACUGAAAUUGUCAAUUCGUAACUUGACUGAUUUUUCACCUCAUUCUGUCUUCUCUCGUCUUUCCCAUCUCAAACGAAAAAAAACUUUUUCUCGAUUUAUUAACAAGGCUGUGCUCUAAAACUUAACAAUUUAAUCCCUUUUUUAAAAAGUUUGUUCAGAUACUUGUGAAAUUUAGAUAAUGGCUUCACCUAACUUGAAAUAUUUAUUUUGCUCUAAUUGAGUUUUAUCCAAUUUGUUUUCUGCACAAUUUCAAGUCUUUAGAUUUCGAAAACAACCAUAUCAGCACUGUUCGAAUCUCCGUUAUUUGUGACAGCUCUUUGGUUCACAUUCGAAUCAAAAGUGUCAGCUAGUCGGUCCUCGAAUACGACUCGAGGGUUGUGAUUAUUGAAAGGUCCUAUCUGAAUGUGGUCUUCACUGUGGUUCGAAUGCCGGUAGCGAACUUCAUUGUGUGCGCCCUCUCCGCUGCCACUCAUCUCGGUAAGACUCAAAAUGUCGUCGUCGUCAUCCUCGUCCUCUAAAGCGAUGAAUGGUAUCGGGUUUGAGUUUCGGUGUCUGUCGAAUUUCAUGUAGAUGAGAUAAGCGAUAAGAAGGAUGCCGACGCCAGUCAAAACUACUAUGAUCGUGCCUUUAGUUAUAGAACUUGUACCAUGUGAUGGCGAGGGCUCAAAUGUUUCAACUGUGGUUAUCGGAAGAGUAGUAUUGAUGGUAGUUGUUGUAGUUGUGGCAGUUGUUGUAGUUGUGGCAGUUGUUGUAGGCUUAGUGAUGGUGUUUGUAAGGCUAGUGGCGACGGUGGUUGUAAGUUCUGUGGUGCCUUCAGCCACAGUGGUUGACGUACUGCUCGUUUGGUUAGUAGUCGAGGUGGGUGCAGUACCUGCCACUAAAGAGAAGAAAAUCAGAAUCCCUAGGUAGAAACGUGUCUGCAUCAUUCUGAAUAAUUAACAAUGGCUAGUUGCGCCCAAAACCAUUAGUAUUGAAUAAAAGUGUAACAAUUAACAAACAAUAGUCUCGGUGUCAUAUGGGUGAGAUUGAGCUUUGUUGAUCUAGUUCAUAGUUGGCAUUAAAUAACUAUAUUGCUUAUUUCUUACAUCUAUAACAAAAUGUUGGACAAUAUGAAAUAACCCACUGAAGGUCAUAUUCGAGAAAAAUAAAACUACGAGUAGUUAGUUACACAGGUCAAUUUCAACCAGAUGUUCAGUUGAAGGUAGAAAGUUCAAGCUUGACACGUUUCGUAAUUGGCUUCGUUAUGGCGUUCGGCGUAGUAAUGGCGUUUCUUUUGGUAACAUUGACAUCAUUAGUAAAGAAACAUUGGUCGAGGAUCUCAAAGCUUAGUCA
RNA transcript from Symsagittifera roscoffensis, 2726 nucleotides. RefSeq lists it as uncharacterized. The record is from RefSeq and is a predicted model, not a curated record. The transcript has 5 exons. NCBI's taxonomy places the organism in Eukaryota, Metazoa, Xenacoelomorpha, Acoela, Convolutidae.